CUUGGUCAUUUAGAGGAAGUAAAAGUCGUAACAAGGUCUCCGUUGGUGAACCAGCGGAGGGAUCAUUACCGAGUUUACAACUCCCAAACCCCUGUGAACAUACCACUUGUUGCCUCGGCGGAUCAGCCCGCUCCCGGUAAAACGGGACGGCCCGCCAGAGGACCCCUAAACUCUGUUUCUAUAUGUAACUUCUGAGUAAAACCAUAAAUAAAUCAAAACUUUCAACAACGGAUCUCUUGGUUCUGGCAUCGAUGAAGAACGCAGCAAAAUGCGAUAAGUAAUGUGAAUUGCAGAAUUCAGUGAAUCAUCGAAUCUUUGAACGCACAUUGCGCCCGCCAGUAUUCUGGCGGGCAUGCCUGUUCGAGCGUCACUUCAACCCUCAAGCACAGCUUGGUGUUGGGACUCGCGUUAAUUCGCGUUCCUCAAAUUGAUUGGCGGUCACGUCGAGCUUCCAUAGCGUAGUAGUAAAACCCUCGUUACUGGUAAUCGUCGCGGCCACGCCGUUAAACCCCAACUUCUGAAUGUUGACCUCGGAUCAGGUAGGAAUACCCGCUGAACUUAAGCAUAUCAAUAAGCGGAGGA
RNAcentral lists this ribosomal RNA (582 nucleotides) under Fusarium oxysporum. RNAcentral describes it as "eukaryotic LSU rRNA". The stretch from base 217 to 370 matches the Rfam family "5.8S ribosomal RNA". The record is from RNAcentral. Lineage: Eukaryota; Fungi; Ascomycota; Sordariomycetes; Hypocreales; Nectriaceae.